UUCUGGUUCGUUUAAAUUGAA
Molecule: non-coding RNA, 21 nt
Organism: Caenorhabditis elegans
Lineage: Eukaryota; Metazoa; Nematoda; Chromadorea; Rhabditida; Rhabditidae
Source: Ensembl